GACGAACGCUGGCGGCGUGCUUAACACAUGCCAGUCGAACGGAAAGGCCCUGCUUUUGUGGGGUGCUCGAGUGGCGAACGGGUGAGUAACACGUGAGUAACCUGCCCUUGACUUUGGGAUAACUUCAGGAAACUGGGGCUAAUACCGGAUAGGAGCUCCUGCUGCAUGGUGGGGGUUGGAAAGUUUCGGCGGUUGGGGAUGGACUCGCGGCUUAUCAGCUUGUUGGUGGGGUAGUGGCUUACCAAGGCUUUGGCGGGUAGCCGGCCUGAGAGGGUGACCGGCAACAUUGGGACUGAGAUACGGCCCGGACUCCUACGGGAGGAAGCAGGGGGGAAUAUUGAACAAUGGGCGGAAGCCUGAUGCAGCAACGCCGCGUGCGGGAUGACGGCCUUCGGGUUGUAAACCGCUUUCGCCUGUGACGAAGCGUGAGUGACGGUAAUGGGUAAAGAAGCACCGGCUAACUACGUG
This 468-nucleotide ribosomal RNA is filed under the name uncultured bacterium. RNAcentral's name for it is "partial 16S ribosomal RNA". It matches the Rfam family "Bacterial small subunit ribosomal RNA", at positions 28 to 507 of the family's 1533-position model. The record is from RNAcentral.